CAAAGAUAACUAAGCAUGAUCCCUGUCCCUAAGGAACUAGUGUGUGGUCAAUAAAUUCACUCAACAGAACUGGACUGAAAACUGAGCCUUGGCUGAAAGAUGAAAGGAAAAACCAUUUCAGCACAAAGAACAGCACAUUCUAAGGUGGGGAGGCCAAAACAGCAUGUCAUAUACUCAGAGAACUCAUGGAGUUUGCACAUUGUAGAGUGAAAUAUUAAAAGGAAGAGUACAGCAAAUGAAGCAAGAUAGUCAGACGAGGUCAAAAUCUAAAGGGCUUUAUCUUUUCUACAUCAUCUUUGAGUGGUUGGGCAAUGGUCGAAGUUGCCUUUUAGAAAUAUCUGGUGAUGAAAUGUGAAGUUCAGAUUAGACAGAGAGAGCUGGAGGGCUAACCUUUGGUCAACAUGAAAAUGAGGACUUUGAUGAUAUCAAGAAAUAGAAUAAGGAGUUAAGGUUAUACUGAACUGUGAAUAGAGAGGAGAGAGAGGGAGAAAGAGAGGAAGAGAAAUAUCAAUUGGCCACCUCUGGCACACCCUCAAGCAGAGACCUGGCUCACAACUCAGGUAUGUGCCCUAACUGGGAAUUGAACCAGCGACCUUUACUUGUGGGAUGCUGCCCAAUCAACUGAGCCACACCAGCCAGAGUGAAGCAUUGUUGUUUUAAACGUAACUAUAUAUUUUUUUUGUUUAAAGA
This is a long non-coding RNA of Phyllostomus discolor (pale spear-nosed bat), 690 nucleotides long. RefSeq lists it as uncharacterized. The transcript has 2 exons. NCBI's taxonomy places the organism in Eukaryota, Metazoa, Chordata, Mammalia, Chiroptera, Phyllostomidae. The record is from RefSeq and is a predicted model, not a curated record.